This 214-nucleotide long non-coding RNA is filed under the name Elaeis guineensis (African oil palm). RNAcentral's name for it is "long non-coding RNA (EGUI_LNC044568)". The record is from RNAcentral. Lineage: Eukaryota; Viridiplantae; Streptophyta; Magnoliopsida; Arecales; Arecaceae.
CAAGGCCGAAAAGGAUGCACACACAUCCUGGGAAGUACAACCCUAACAAGUUCUGCCUCUAUCAUCGUGACCACGGCCAUGACACGGAGGAGUAUAUUCAGCUCUAAGAUGAGAUCGAGGAGCUCAUCAGAUGAGGUUGGCUCAUCAGAUUCAUCCGACACCGGCCUGAAGGUAGGGAAGAUCGGCCGAGGGCCCUACCACAACCAGAGCCACC